UUACAAAUUUAUUUCAUACAAGUUAAAUGCUUAUUUUUAUAAUGUUGAUUGAAACAACUAUAGUUCAUAGCUACUUCUUACUGGUCAAUGGAAGUAUGAAAAAUGUGUACUUUGACCAAAGUCCAACUCAAAAACUCGAAGAAUAAAUGGAAUUGCUGCUUCCUGCUGAUCUGGUCUGUCUUAGAGUUACCCAUUAUUAUGGAUGCCAAUGCAACCAGCUGAGAGAUCAGUAGUCUGUGUUUUGUCAACACUCCUGAACUGUGGUCCAUUGCCAACAUAUGAGUCAACCUCUAAUAAUAUAUCAUGAGCAGUAUCAUUCAUUGUUGUUGAUGUAGUAGUACUGCAGCAGCAGUAAGUAGCUUGUAAUAGUAAAUUCAGUUUUUGCCAUGG
Octopus sinensis (East Asian common octopus) is the source of this 390-nucleotide long non-coding RNA. RefSeq lists it as uncharacterized. NCBI's taxonomy places the organism in Eukaryota, Metazoa, Mollusca, Cephalopoda, Octopoda, Octopodidae. The transcript is spliced from 2 exons. The record is from RefSeq and is a predicted model, not a curated record.